UCCUGCCUCUCAACAACCUCUUUGGAC
Molecule: non-coding RNA, 27 nt
Filed under: Homo sapiens (human)
Lineage: Eukaryota; Metazoa; Chordata; Mammalia; Primates; Hominidae
Source: RNAcentral